This is a non-coding RNA of Kogia breviceps (pygmy sperm whale), 2078 nucleotides long. Lineage: Eukaryota; Metazoa; Chordata; Mammalia; Artiodactyla; Physeteridae. The record is from RefSeq and is a predicted model, not a curated record.
CAGAUAACGUUUAAAAAGCAACAAGACCUUAGGUUUCCUGUGCCUGCAGAUGUCCGAAAGAUGAAAACACGCACCCGUUUACCCUCAUAAUUUGGGGUGGCUCCUCAGUUCCCAUCAAAGCCAUUCCAUCAUGGCCAAGACUUCCUGAUCAACACAGGAAAGCUCCAGCCCUCUGUAAGUUCCCCCCCUUUCUUUUUCCCCCAAUUAUAUCCAACCUAUAGUGCUGACUUUUGCCCCUCAAAGUACUUUGUGGUUGUUGAACACAUAAUAAUUGGGCGAAUCUCUUUGGGAAGAAGUCCCACAGAUUGUCAGAAAAAAGGCUGGCAGUCCAGUUCCAGAGACUCCGACUCCUGGUGUCAUGCUGUACAUCACUACAUUAUUCUUAUCAUAAUGGCUUGGCAAGAAGUAAAAAAUCCCAUUUGCUAGAAAACCUUUCAGGUCUGGGAUCCAAGUGUGGGAACAUGCCCUAACUCAGUUGUGCAGAGCUCAAGAAUACUCCAGGGUGCACUUCCUGCAUGAGGCCAAUUAUGAGAGCAAGGAGAAAACUGACUCAUAACCUCUAGAGACAGACUCAGGCUCUUCUGGAAUCCCACAGAAUGUUCUCCUACCAGACUGUUGUAGUUAGCACUCUGAAACAGACAUCCUACUUUAAAACUAAAGGGCUGGCUUCUUCAAGGAAUUUUGAUAGACGUGAACAUGAGCCAAAGGGUAGGCCAAACUUGUACAACCUACAUAAUUCACCAAGCUUGGCAAUAAAACACCUUCCACAGCACUUAUGUGGAUGGUACAAGACAGACCCACAUGUUGCCAUUUUAAAUCACUAAACCAGGGACAAAGUUGUUAAUACAAUAAGACUCAUCACCACCACAGCCUAGAUUGACUACAAAGUUUAAAGAAAAAAAAGGAUGCCCAUGUAAUAGGACACGAAAAACCACUAUCAAUAUGAGGUAUGAGAACACAGCCCUGUGCUAGGUAGUUGACUAAGCUCUGAGAAUAUAAAGGCAACGUGGGACCAGUCCACACCUAAGUCAAAGUAUUACUAGGGCUAGCCCAGACAUCCUCCCUGGCUGGCAGUAAUGCUUCAGUCGUGUCUUUAACAAAAGACUAGAGACUUGCCAGCUAUUGCAGGGCAGAUGGAACAGGCAUGGCGGCUUCAAGCAGAGAGGCCUACUGGAGAAAUGUAAGGAGUUCCAUGUAGCCAGCAAGUUGGAGAGGUAGGCAGCAGGCCAAUUACAAAGGGCACCAUACACUGCUGGAGAGUUUAAGGGUUAUCUUUGAGGCAACUGAGGAGACUUUUCAAGAGUUCAAAUCAGGGGUUUGAUCAGAUUUGCACUCCAGAAGGAUGACUCUCUGAUAGAAGCAUAGAGACAGGACUCUAUUAAGAGCAAAGGUUAAGAGGUCACAGCAAUAGUACAGGCAAAAAAUUGUAGAGGCCUGAACUGAGGCCAGGGUCAGAGACAAGAGGGGGAAGGAGCUCAGAAAUGUUAAAAGAGAUAAAAUCUAUAGAGAGCACUGACUGGCUUGGAAAAAGGGGUGAGAGGGAAAGGGGACAGUGUAAGAUGAGCCAGGUUCCAGGCUUGGGUGACUGGGUGCAUGGAGAAAUGGCAGCUGGAAGCAAGUGGCUCGCAGCAAUCAGCUAACAGAGCUGGUCCUCAGCUGGAAAGUGAUGGCGAAACCACUCGAGUGGACGGGCCAUGGUCCAGAGGACGAGACCUUGAGGAGCAGCAGGUGUAACGGGGGAGAAGCAUGUAGAUGGGCAAGGCAGAGGUUAGGGGAACCAGGGAGUCACAGGAAGGAAGGGCUUUCAAAAGGAAUGGGUAAGACUGUCCAAUCCUGGGAGAGGCUAAGUAAGAUAAGAGUUCAGAGCUCCACAGAAGGGAGGGUGGCCUUUGUCAGACAGAAUGGGGGGCAUGACGUGCAGGGCAAGGAGUGUGGCUGAGAAGUGUUGAACAGAGGUAGUAAGCACGGAUACUUCCUCUAAAAAGCUCCACUAUGACGGGGCAGAGAGAGCAGAGACAACCUACAGUAGGGCACAGAAUCCAGGAGAGACUUUGUGUGUUCUGUUUUUGUUUUUGUUU